This 1326-nucleotide ribosomal RNA is filed under the name Triticum aestivum (bread wheat). RNAcentral's name for it is "partial small subunit ribosomal RNA". Lineage: Eukaryota; Viridiplantae; Streptophyta; Magnoliopsida; Poales; Poaceae. The record is from RNAcentral.
AUGGCAGAGAAGAAGGGAAAUAUCUUGAUGGAGAGAUAUGAGAUGGGAAGACUGCUGGGGCAAGGGAGCUUUGCUAAAGUUUACUAUGGUCGUAAUCUCAAGACUUCACAGAGCGUUGCCAUCAAGGUGAUUGACAAAGAGAAGAUAUUCAAGUGCGGGCUUAUGGAUCAAGUAAGGCGAGAGAUAUCUGUAAUGAAGUUGGUGAAACAUCCAAACAUUGUCCAAUUGUAUGAGGUGAUGGCCACCAAAACCAAGAUAUUUUUUGUGCUGGAGUAUGUGAAGGGGGGCGAGCUGUUCAACAAGGUCCAACGAGGAAGGCUGAAAGAAGAUGUUGCUCGCAAGUACUUCCAACAGCUCAAUAGUGCAGUUGACUUCUGCCACAGCCGAGGCGUCUAUCACCGUGAUUUGAAGCCUGAAAAUCUUCUUCUUGAUGAGAACCGCAAUUUAAAGAUCUCUGACUUUGGUUUGAGUGCACUUGCAGAAUGCAAGAGACAAGAUGGGCUGCUUCACACAACUUGUGGUACCCCUGCAUAUGUUGCUCCGGAACUGAUUAGUAAGAAAGGAUAUGAUGGUGCAAAAGCUGACAUCUGGGCUUGUGGAGUCAUCUUGUAUGUAUUGUUGGCUGGUUAUCUCCCUUUUCAGGACAAGAAUUUGAUGGACAUGUAUAAGAAGAUUUACAAAGCAGAGCUCAAAUGGCCAAGCUGGUUUUCUUCAGAUGCCCGGAGGCUUCUGAGACGUAUUCUUGAUCCGAACCCUGGUACACGGAUCUCCUUUUCAGAGAUCUUGGAAAAUUCUUGGUUCCGGACAGGCCUUGACAAGGGACUGAUUACCUAUAACACACGAACGGAGGGCAUUGUUGCUGUUGACAUGGAUCCGACUUGUGAUCCGUUCAGUAGCUGUACGACCGAGACAAUACAAGAAGCAACAGAGCUCACUAACUUGAAUGCUUUUGACAUCAUUUCUCUUUCUUCUGGGUUUGAUCUCUCUGGCAUGUUUGAGGAUAAGUCCAACAAAGAGUCAAAAUUCACAUCUACCAACACAGCUGCAACAAUCAUCACAAAGCUUGAAGACAUUGCAAAGCGCUUGCGGCUAAGACUCAUUAAGAGAGACGGUGGGUUGUUGAAGAUGCAGAGCUCGCAACCAGGAAGGAAAGGCGUAAUGUCCAUAGAUACCGAGAUAUUUCAGAUUGCACCAAAUUUUCAUCUGGUGGAAAUCAGGAAGACCAAUGGUGAUACUCUCGAGUAUCAGAAGGUUGAACAUGAUAUGAGACCGGCUUUGAAAGACAUUGUUUGGGCUUGGAAAGGUGAACUACAUAAGCACGUGUAG